CCUCCUUUGCUUGGCGGGUGUCCAGGCGUGCAGUCCCUGUCCCCGUUAUGUACGGAGGCAGAGGGAGCAGACUCCGGACUCCUCAGCAUCAAGUCUUUGGUGCCGGCGGCUACCCAUCCUCUGGUUCUAUCCUCAAACACCGGGACAAGG
RNAcentral lists this small nucleolar RNA (150 nucleotides) under Echinops telfairi (small Madagascar hedgehog). RNAcentral describes it as "Small nucleolar RNA SNORA57 (ENSETEG00000023419.1)". It matches the Rfam family "Small nucleolar RNA SNORA57". From Rfam's summary of the family: U99 belongs to the H/ACA class of snoRNAs which are thought to guide the sites of modification of uridines to pseudouridines, the target for this family is unknown. Lineage: Eukaryota; Metazoa; Chordata; Mammalia; Afrosoricida; Tenrecidae. The record is from RNAcentral.